GUGAGUCAUCGAAUCUUUGAACGCACAUUGCGCCCGGCAGUAAUCUGCCGGGCAUGCCUGUCCGAGCGUCAUUUCAACCCUCGAACCUCCGUUUCCUCAGGGAAGCUCAGGGUCGGUGUUGGGGCGCUACGGCGAGUCUUCGCGACCCUCCGUAGGCCCUGAAAUACAGUGGCGGUCCCGCCGCGGUUGCCUUCUGCGUAGUAAGUCUCUUUUUGCAAGCUCGCAUUGGGUCCCGGCGGAGGCCUGCCGUCAAACCACCUAUAACUCCAGAUGGUUUGACCUCGGAUCAGGUAGGGUUACCCGCUGAACUUAAGCAUAUCAAUAAGCGGAGGA
RNAcentral lists this unclassified non-coding RNA (333 nucleotides) under Scedosporium sp. RNAcentral's name for it is "partial contains 5.8S ribosomal RNA, internal transcribed spacer 2, and large subunit ribosomal RNA". The stretch from base 1 to 71 matches the Rfam family "5.8S ribosomal RNA", at positions 84 to 154 of the family's 154-position model. The record is from RNAcentral. Lineage: Eukaryota; Fungi; Ascomycota; Sordariomycetes; Microascales; Microascaceae.